GCUCACGGCCAUAACUGCCUGGGUACGCCCGAUCUCGUCUGAUCUCGGAAGCUAAGCAGGGUCGGGCCUGGUUAGUACUUGGAUGGGAGACCGCCUGGGAAUACCAGGUGCUGUAAGCA
RNAcentral lists this ribosomal RNA (119 nucleotides) under Salmo salar (Atlantic salmon). The record is from RNAcentral. Lineage: Eukaryota; Metazoa; Chordata; Actinopteri; Salmoniformes; Salmonidae.